GAGAUCUGACACUCAUUGAUACAAUCAUGUUGCUGGGUUUGAUCUCCAGAAUGAAAAAAAUAUAUCCUUUUGUACUACAGAUGCAUUUUUUAAAAUUUACAAUAUUUUCCUUACACUGUCAACUCCUCAAAAAAAAAGGUAAUUACUCAUAAAAGAUCUACAUAUAGCUAUAUGAUAUUAGGUCUUAAAAUUUCUUGGGGUGGUAGUGGUGAUGAUGAUGAUGAUGGCCAAAAAUAUUCUGAGACAGCUACAGAACAAGAGGAAAAUAAAUGGACUGGUAUUAACAUCAUUUACUGCUAGGAAUGCAUCAUGAGUAUGUCCAAAAGCAAUUUUAUGACAGAAAACAUUAUUUCUCGAAGUGGUAGUCACUCAGUACGAGCUUUCUCUGCCCAGGAUCUCCCCAGCCCUAUCUGUAUCCCUGACCGGCACUACCCACUCAUUCAUUCCACCUAUCUGGCCUGGAAAAGAUCUAUCUGCUUCUGAAGAUUUAUUUCAUGUGAGUAUUUUGUUUUUUUGGUUUUUUGUUUUUUGUUUUUUCCAAAAUGCUAG
RNAcentral lists this long non-coding RNA (549 nucleotides) under Fukomys damarensis (Damara mole-rat). RNAcentral describes it as "lncRNA (ENSFDAG00000031269.1)". The record is from RNAcentral. Lineage: Eukaryota; Metazoa; Chordata; Mammalia; Rodentia; Bathyergidae.